Molecule: ribosomal RNA, 253 nt
Filed under: uncultured bacterium
Lineage: Bacteria
Description: partial 16S ribosomal RNA
Rfam family: Bacterial small subunit ribosomal RNA
Source: RNAcentral
UACGGGGGGGGUAAGCGUUGUUCGGAAUUACUGGGCGUAAAGGGCUCGUAGGCGGCCAACUAAGUCGGACGUGAAAUCCCUCAGCUUAACUGGGGAACUGCGUCCGAUACUGGAUGGCUUGGAUUUGGGAGAGGGAUGCGGAAUUCCAGGUGUAGCGGUGAAAUGCGUAGAUAUCUGGAGGAACACCAGCGGCGAAGGCGGCGACCUGGUCAGAUACUGGCGCUGAGGCGCGAAAGCGUGGGGAGCAAACAGG